RNAcentral lists this ribosomal RNA (1502 nucleotides) under human gut metagenome. RNAcentral describes it as "bacterial LSU rRNA". It matches the Rfam family "Bacterial large subunit ribosomal RNA", at positions 1120 to 2636 of the family's 2925-position model. The record is from RNAcentral.
CCUUUAAAGAGUGCGUAACAGCUCACUAGUCGAGUGACCCUGCGCCGAAAAUGUACCGGGGCUAAGCCUGAUACCGAAACUGCGGAUUGUAGGAAACUAUAGUGGUAGGGGAGCGUUGUAUACGAGCAGAAGCCGUACCGUGAGGAGCGGUGGAUUGUAUAGAAGUGAGAAUGCCGGUGUGAGUAGCGAGAUGUAGGUGAGAAUCCUACACACCGAAAGCCCAAGGAUUCCAGGGGAAGGUUCGUCCGCCCUGGGUAAGUCGGGACCUAACGCGAGGCCGAAAGGCGUAGUGGAUGGAAAGCAGGCGAAAGAUUCCUGCACCCGUAUAUGGAGCGAAGGAGUGACGGAGACGGAUAGUGUGACCCUCUUAAUGGAUUGAGGGCGAAGCGAAGCGGCUGGUUACCAGGCAAAUCCGGUAACCAAAAGGCUAGAGCGUGACAGGUAAGCGAAAUCUUAGGAAAGUAGCGAAGCACAUGAUGACGGCUUCCAGGAAAAGCUUCUGGCAAUGCAUAUGCGGCCCGUACCAAAACCGACACAGGUGGGCAGGGAGAGAAUCCCGAGGUGAGCGAGAGAACUGUUGCCAAGGAACUCGGCAAAAUGACUCCGUAAGUUAGCGAGAAGGAGUGCUUAAGCAAUUAAGCCGCAGUGAAGAGGCCCAAGCGACUGUUUAACUAAAACACAGCUCUCUGCGAAGUCGCAAGACGAAGUAUAGGGGGUGACACCUGCCCGGUGCUGGAAGGUUAAGAGGAUCUGUUAAGAGCGAUCUGAAGCAGUGAUCCGAAGCCCCAGUGAACGGCGGCCGUAACUAUAACGGUCCUAAGGUAGCGAAAUUCCUUGUCAGGUAAGUUCUGACCCGCACGAAAGGCGUAACGAUUUGGGCGCUGUCUCGGCAGCAGACUCGGUGAAAUCUUAGUACCUGUGAAAAUGCAGGUUACCCGCAACUAGACGGAAAGACCCCAUGGAGCUUUACUGCAGCCUGAUAUUGAAUUCUGGUCAUACAUGUACAGGAUAGGUGGGAGACAAAGAGACGUGCACGCCAGUGUACGAGGAGUCGUCGUUGGGAUACCACUCUUGUGUGACCGGGGUUCUAACCUGGUAUCGAGAACAGGUACGGGGAGAGUGUCAGGUGGGCAGUUUGACUGGGGCGGUCGCCUCCCAAAGAGUAACGGAGGCGCCCAAAGGUACGCUCAGAUUGGUUGGAAAUCAAUUGAAGAGUGCAAAUGCAGAAGCGUGCUUGACUGUGAGACAAACAAGUCGAACAGGGACGAAAGUCGGGAAUAGUGAUCCGGCGGUGCCGAAUGGAAGGGCCGUCGCUCAACGGAUAAAAGCUACCCUGGGGAUAACAGGCUGAUCUCGCCCAAGAGUUCACAUCGACGGCGAGGUUUGGCACCUCGAUGUCGGCUCAUCGCAUCCUGGAGCUGGAUUCGGUUCCAAGGGUUGGGCUGUCCGCCCAUUAAAGCGGUACGCGAGCUGGGUUCAGAACGUCGUGAGACAGUUCGGUC